GACGAACGCUGGCGGCGUGCUUAACACAUGCAAGUCGAACGGAAAGGCCCUGCUCUUGCGGGGUGCUCGAGUGGCGAACGGAUGAGUAACACGUGAGUAACCUGCCCUUGACAUUGGGAUAACUUCAUGAAACUGGGGCUAGUACCGGAUAGGAGCUCCUGCUGCAUGGUGGGGGUUGGAAAGUUUCGGCGGUGGGGGUUGGACUUGCGGCUUAUCAGCUUGUUGGUGGGGUAGUGGCUUACCAAGGCUUUGACGGGUAGCCGGCCUGAGAGGGUGACCGGCCACAUUGGGACUGAGAUACGGCCCAGACUCCUACGGGCGGCAGCAGUGGGGAAUAUUGCACAAUGGGCGGAAGCCUGAUGCAGCCACGCCGCGUGCGGGAUGACGGCCUUCGGGUUGUAAACCGCUUUCGCCUGUGACGAAGCGUGAGUGACGGUAAUGGGUAAAGAAGCACCGGCUAACUACGUG
This 468-nucleotide ribosomal RNA is filed under the name uncultured bacterium. Its description in RNAcentral is "partial 16S ribosomal RNA". It matches the Rfam family "Bacterial small subunit ribosomal RNA", at positions 28 to 507 of the family's 1533-position model. The record is from RNAcentral.